GAUGAACGCUGGCGGCGUGCCUAAUACAUGCAAGUCGAGCGAACAGACGAUGAGCUUGCUCCUCUGACGUUAGCGGCGGACGUGUGAGUAACACGUGGAUAACCCACCUAUAAGACUGGGAUAACUUCGGGAAACCGGAGCUAAUACCGGAGAAUAUAUUGAACCGCAUGGUUCAAUAGUGAAAGACGGUUUUGCUGUCACUUAUAGAUGUAUCCGGGCCGCAUUAGCUAGUUGGUAAGUUAACGGCUUACCAAGGCGACGAUGCGUAUCCGACCUGUGAGGGUGAUCGGCCACACGGGAACUGAGACACGGUCCAGACUCCUACGGGAGGCAGCAGUAGGGAACCUGACGCAAUGGGCGAAAGCAUGACGGAGCAACGCGGCGUGAGUGAUGAAGGUCUUGCGAUCGUAAAACUCUGUUAUUAGGUAAGAACAAAUGUGUACGUAACUAUGCACGUCUUGACGGUACCUAAUAAGAAAGCCACGGCUAACUACGUG
This 497-nucleotide ribosomal RNA is filed under the name uncultured bacterium. Its description in RNAcentral is "partial 16S ribosomal RNA". It matches the Rfam family "Bacterial small subunit ribosomal RNA", at positions 28 to 507 of the family's 1533-position model. The record is from RNAcentral.